Molecule: ribosomal RNA, 484 nt
Filed under: uncultured bacterium
Lineage: Bacteria
Description: partial 16S ribosomal RNA
Rfam family: Bacterial small subunit ribosomal RNA
Source: RNAcentral
GACGAACGCUGGCGGCGUGCUUAACACAUGCAAGUCGAACGAUGAAGCAGGAGCUUGCUCCGGUGGAUUAGUGGCGAACGGGGGAGUAACACGUGAGCAAUCUGCCCUUGACUCUGGGAUAACCUCCGGAAACUGGAGCUAAUACCGGAUACUUUCACUGGAAGGAAUCUUCUGGUGCAGCAAGAAUUUCGGUCAAGGAUGAGCUCGCGGCCUAUCAGCUUGUUGGUGAGGUAACGGCUCACCAAGGCGACGACGGGUAGCCGGCCUGGGAGGGUGACCGGCCACACUGCGACUGAGACACGGCCCAGACUCGUACGGGAGGCAGCAGUGGGGAAUAUUGCACAAUGGGCGCAAGCCUGAUGCAGCAACGCCGCGUGAGGGAUGAAGGCCUUCGGGUUGUAAACCUCUUUUAGCAGGGAAGAAGCGAAAGUGACGGUACCUGCAGAAAAAGCACCGGCUAACUACGUGCCAGCCGCCGCCGUAA